GCGCCCAUAGCUCAAUUGGCAGAGCAAUCCGCCUUCGGCGGACAGGUUCAAGGUUGGGUUUCUUGCGGGCGCG
This 73-nucleotide transfer RNA is filed under the name Bacteroidota bacterium. RNAcentral describes it as "Bacteroidetes bacterium (marine metagenome) tRNA-Glu". Lineage: Bacteria; Pseudomonadati; Bacteroidota. The record is from RNAcentral.